AGGCACACCACGAUAUUUGCGGUGUAGGCUCUUCUAUCGCACUCCGGAUGUACUGAGUCCUGCAAUUUCCCCAAACGUGGGAAACUCGGUGGCAUAAUCCAUGGUAGUGGGGGACUGCGUUCGAACUCCCCCU
This is a small nuclear RNA of Cavia aperea (Brazilian guinea pig), 133 nucleotides long. Its record names the gene U1. It matches the Rfam family "U1 spliceosomal RNA". From Rfam's summary of the family: U1 is a small nuclear RNA (snRNA) component of the spliceosome (involved in pre-mRNA splicing). Its 5' end forms complementary base pairs with the 5' splice junction, thus defining the 5' donor site of an intron. The record is from Ensembl. Lineage: Eukaryota; Metazoa; Chordata; Mammalia; Rodentia; Caviidae.